ACGCGUAGAAUUUACCAAAAGGACUGGGACAACCACUGGAAACGGUGGCUAAUACCGGAUGAACCGAAAAGUAAAAAGGGAAACCUGCCUUUUGAAGAGCUCGCGUCUGAUUAGCUAGUUGGUGAGGUAAGAGCUCACCAAGGCAGCGAUCAGUAGCUGGUCUGAGAGGAUGACCAGCCACACUGGGACUGAGACACGGCCCAGACUCCUACGGGAGGCAGCAGUGGGGAAUUUUCCGCAAUGGGCGAAAGCCUGACGGAGCAAUACCGCGUGAGGGAAGAAGGCUCUUGGGUCGUAAACCUCUUUUAUCAGGGAAGAAAAAAAUGACGGUACCUGAAGAAUCAGCCUCGGCUAACUCCGUGCCAGCAGCCGCGGUAAUACGGAGGAGGCAAGCGUUAUCCGGAAUUAUUGGGCGUAAAGCGUCCGCAGGUGGCUUAUCAAGUCUGCUGUCAAAGAGUGGGGCUUAACCCCAUUAAGGCAGUGGAAACUGAGAAGCUAGAGUGCCGUAGGGGUAGAGGGAAUUCCCGGUGUAGCGGUGAAAUGCGUAGAGAUCGGGAAGAACAUCGGUGGCGAAAGCGCUCUACUGGACGGCAACUGACACUCAGGGACGAAAGCUAGGGGAGCGAAAGGGAUUAGA
Molecule: ribosomal RNA, 637 nt
Filed under: Microcoleus steenstrupii HS034
Lineage: Bacteria; Bacillati; Cyanobacteriota; Cyanophyceae; Oscillatoriales; Microcoleaceae
Description: bacterial SSU rRNA
Rfam family: Bacterial small subunit ribosomal RNA
Source: RNAcentral